RNAcentral lists this transfer RNA (71 nucleotides) under Bos taurus (domestic cattle). It matches the Rfam family "tRNA". From Rfam's summary of the family: Transfer RNA (tRNA) molecules are approximately 80 nucleotides in length. Their secondary structure includes four short double-helical elements and three loops (D, anti-codon, and T loops). Further hydrogen bonds mediate the characteristic L-shaped molecular structure. tRNAs have two regions of fundamental functional importance: the anti-codon, which is responsible for specific mRNA codon recognition, and the 3' end, to which the tRNAs corresponding amino acid is attached (by aminoacyl-tRNA synthetases). tRNAs cope with the degeneracy of the genetic code in two manners: having more than one tRNA (with a specific anti-codon) for a particular amino acid; and 'wobble' base-pairing, i.e. permitting non-standard base-pairing at the 3rd anti-codon position. The record is from Rfam by way of RNAcentral. Lineage: Eukaryota; Metazoa; Chordata; Mammalia; Artiodactyla; Bovidae. RNAcentral also lists the same sequence under 1 other name.
UCCUGGUGGCUCAGACGGCAAAACGUCUGCCUGUAAUGCAGGAGGCCCAGGUUUGAUUCCUGGGUCGGGAA